This 484-nucleotide ribosomal RNA is filed under the name Cambarus tenebrosus. RNAcentral's name for it is "partial 16S ribosomal RNA". It matches the Rfam family "Bacterial large subunit ribosomal RNA", at positions 1944 to 2642 of the family's 2925-position model. Lineage: Eukaryota; Metazoa; Arthropoda; Malacostraca; Decapoda; Cambaridae. The record is from RNAcentral.
GACCGUGCGAAGGUAGCAUAAUCAUUAGUUUUUUAAAUGAAGGCUAGAAUGAAUGGUUGGACAAGAAAUAAUCUGUCUUAAAUUAAUAUAUUGAAUUUAACUUUUAAGUGAAAAGGCUUAAAUAAUCUGAAGGGACGAUAAGACCCUAUAAAACUUUAUAUUGAAAAGUGAUAGGUAUAUUUUGUUUAAAGAAUUAUUACUUUAAAGUAUUUGGUUGGGGUGACAAAAAUAGAAGAUAAAGUAACUGUUUUUUUUUUAUACAAUAAUGUUUGGGUUAGUGAUCCUAAAAUGGAUUAAAGAUUAAGUUACUUUAGGGAUAACAGCGUAAUUUUCUUUAAGAGUUCUUAUCGAUAAGAAAGUUUGCGACCUCGAUGUUGAAUUAAAGGUUCUUUAUGGAGUAGAGACUAUAAAAGAAGGUCUGUUCGACCUUUAAAACUUUACAUGAUUUGAGUUCAGACCGGUGUGAGCCAGGUUGGUUUCUAUC